UAGUAUAUGACAGUAGUAGGUGAUAGGUGUAGGCAACAGUAGUAGGCGAUAGUUGUAGGCGAUAGUUGUAGGUGAUAGUAGUAGGUGAUAGUAGUAGGUGAUAGUAGUAGGUGAUAGUAGUAGGUGAUAGCAGUAGGUGAUAGUAGUAGGUGAUAGUAGUAGAUGAUAGUAGUAGAUGAUAGUAGUAGGUGAUUGUAGUUGAUGAAUGUAGAAGAUGAUUGUAGUAGGUGAUAGUAGUAGAAGACACUGGUAAAUGACAGAAGUAAGUGAUAGUAGUAGAUGAAAGUUGUAGGUGAUUGUAGCAGGUGAUAGAAGCAGAUGAUAAUUGUAGGUGAUAGUAGUAGGUGAUAGCAGUAGGUGAUUGUAGUAGGUGAUAGUAGUAGAUGAUAGUAGUAGAUGAUAGUUGUAGGUGAUAGUCGUAGAUGAAAGUUGUAGUUGAUUGUAGCAGGUGAUAGAAGCAGAUGAUAGUUGUAGGUGAUAGUAGUAUAUGAUAGUAGAAUGUGAUAGUAGUAGAUGAUAGUAGUAGGUGAUUGUAGCAGGUGAUAGAAGCAGAUGAUAGUUGUAGGUGACAGUAGUAGAUGAUAGUCCUAGGUGAUAGUAGUUGGUAAAAGUAGUAGAUGAUAGUAGUAGAUGAUAGUAGAAGGUGAUAGUAAGUACAUGAUAGUAGGUUAUUGUAGCAGGUGAUAGAAGCAGAUUAUAGUUGUGGGUGAUAGUAGUAUGUGAUAGUAGUAGGUGAUAGAAAUAGAAGAUAGUAGUAGAUGAUAGUAGUAGGUGAUAGUAGAAGGUGAUAGUUGUACGUGAAAAUGGUAGGUGAAAGUAGUAGUUGAUAGUAGUAGGUGGUUGUAGUAGGUGAUAGAAAUAGAUGAUAGUAGUAGGUGAUAGUAGUAGGUGACAGUAGCAGAUGAUAGUUGUAGGUGAUAGUAGUAGGUAAGAGAAGUAGAUGAUAGAAUUAGCUGAUAGUAGUAGAUGAAAGUAGUAGGUGAUAGUGGUAGGUGAUAGUAGUAGAUGACAGUAGUAGAUGACAGUGAUAAGUGAUAGUACUACAUGAUAUUAGUAGGUGAUAGUAGAUGAUAGUAGUAGGUGAUAGUUGUACGUGAAAAUGGUAGGUGAUAGUAGUAGGUGAUAACACUAUAUGAUAAUAGAAGGUGAAAGUAGUGGUUGAUAGUAGUAGAUGAUAGUCGUAGGUGAUGGGUGU
Molecule: long non-coding RNA, 1195 nt
Organism: Oncorhynchus tshawytscha (Chinook salmon)
Lineage: Eukaryota; Metazoa; Chordata; Actinopteri; Salmoniformes; Salmonidae
Source: Ensembl